RNAcentral lists this ribosomal RNA (783 nucleotides) under Paenisporosarcina quisquiliarum. Its description in RNAcentral is "partial 16S ribosomal RNA". It matches the Rfam family "Bacterial small subunit ribosomal RNA", at positions 617 to 1398 of the family's 1533-position model. The record is from RNAcentral. Lineage: Bacteria; Bacillati; Bacillota; Bacilli; Caryophanales; Caryophanaceae.
GGAGGGUCAUUGGAAACUGGGGGACUUGAGUACAGAAGAGGAAAGCGGAAUUNCAAGUGUAGCGGUGAAAUGCGUAGAGAUUNGGAGGAACACCAGUGGCGAAGGCGGCUUUNUGGUCUGUAACUGACGNUGAGGCGCGAAAGCGUGGGGAGCAAACAGGAUUAGAUACCCUGGUAGUNCACGCCGUAAACGAUGAGUGCUAAGUGUUAGGGGGUUUNCGCCCCUUAGUGCUGCAGCUAACGCNUUAAGCACUNCGCCUGGGGANUNCGGCCGCAAGGCUGAAACUCAAAGGAAUUGACGGGGGCCCGCACNAGCGGUGGAGCAUGUGGUUUAAUUNGAAGCAACGNGAAGAACCUUACCAGGUCUUGACAUCCCACUGACCGGCUUAGAGAUAAGUUUUUCCCUUNGGGGACAGUGGUGACAGGUGGUGCAUGGUUGUNGUCAGCUCGUGUCNUGAGAUGUUGGGUUAAGUCCCGCAACGAGCGCAACCCUUGAUNUUAGUUGCCAGCAUUUAGUUGGGCACUNUAAGGUGACUGCCGGUGAUAAACCGGAGGAAGGUGGGGAUGACGUCAAAUCAUCNUGCCCCUUAUGACCUGGGNUACACACGUGNUACAAUGGACGAUACAAAGGGCUGCAAACCCGCGAGGGGGAGCCNAUCCCAUAAAAUCGUUNUCAGUUNGGAUUGUAGGCUGCAACUNGCCUACNUGAAGCCGGAAUCGCUNGUAAUCGNGGAUCAGCNUGCCGCGGUGAAUACGUUCCCGGGCCUUNUACACACCGCCCGUC